AAAGCUCGUAGUCUAUUUCCUGUUCCCCUGAGUAAAACUUAGUGUAUAAGGCUGGUGGUUGUUUUAAGGUAUCUACGUGGCAUUACAAAUACUUUUGUUAAGUAAGAGGAACGGUCGGGGGCAUUCGAACCUUUCACAGCAAGAGGUGAAAUUCAGAGAACUGCGGGUGAUGAUCGUUCGCGAAAGCACAUGUUAAGUACGCUUUUAUUGAUGUAAGGCAAAAGUUUGGGCAUCGAAUACGAUUAGAUACCGUAUGUAGUCCUUACUAUAAACUAUGUCGACCGUGAAAAGGAGUGUAUUGUAUCAUUGGACAUUUCUGAACUUUGUGAGUAAUCAGAGUCUGGUUCCGGGGGGAGUAUGGUUGCAAGGCUAAAACUUAAAGGAAUUGACGGAAGGGCACUACAAGGCGUGGAGCUUGCGGCUUAAUUUGACUUAACGCGGGGAAACUUACCAGGAUCAGACGCUUAAUGGAUUGACAGUUUGAACGAGCUUACAUGAUUGGGUGGAUGGUGGUGCAUGG
RNAcentral lists this ribosomal RNA (520 nucleotides) under uncultured marine eukaryote. Its description in RNAcentral is "bacterial SSU rRNA". It matches the Rfam family "Eukaryotic small subunit ribosomal RNA", at positions 730 to 1287 of the family's 1831-position model. The record is from RNAcentral.